RNAcentral lists this microRNA (22 nucleotides) under Caenorhabditis briggsae. RNAcentral describes it as "Cbr-Mir-190_3p* (star (passenger))". Lineage: Eukaryota; Metazoa; Nematoda; Chromadorea; Rhabditida; Rhabditidae. The record is from RNAcentral.
CUCAAGUAUUAGACGUAUCGAC